This 336-nucleotide ribosomal RNA is filed under the name uncultured bacterium. RNAcentral's name for it is "bacterial SSU rRNA". It matches the Rfam family "Bacterial small subunit ribosomal RNA", at positions 18 to 344 of the family's 1533-position model. The record is from RNAcentral.
CCUGGCUCAGGACGAACGCUGGCGGCGUGCCUAAUACAUGCCAGUAGAACGCUGAAGCGUGGUGCUUGCACCGAGCGGAUGAGUUGCGAACGGGUGAGUAACGCGUAGGUAACCUGCCUGGUAGCGGGGGAUAACUAUUGGAAACGAUAGCUACUACCGCAUAACAGUAGAUGUCGCAUGACAUUUGCUUAAAAGGUGCAAUUGCAUCACUACCAGAUGGACCUGCGUUGUAUUAGCGAGUUGGUGAGGUAACGGCUCACCAAGGCGACGAUACAUAGCCGACCUGAGAGGGGGAGCGGCCAAGCUGGGACUGAGACACGGCCCAGACGCCUACGG